RNAcentral lists this ribosomal RNA (253 nucleotides) under uncultured bacterium. RNAcentral describes it as "partial 16S ribosomal RNA". It matches the Rfam family "Bacterial small subunit ribosomal RNA", at positions 524 to 776 of the family's 1533-position model. The record is from RNAcentral.
UACGUAGGGGGCCAGCGUUGUCCGGAUUCAUUGGGCGUAAAGCGCGUGUAGGCGGCCAGGUAGGUCCGAUGUGAAAUCUGGAGGCUCAACCUCCAGCGGUCAUUGGAAACCAUCUGGCUAGAGUCCGGAAGAGGAGAGUGGAAUUCCUGGUGUAGCGGUGAAAUGCGCAGAUAUCAGGAAGAACACCUAUGGCGAAGGCAGCUCUCUGGGACGGUACUGACGCUGAGACGCGAAAGCGUGGGGAGCGAACAGG